RNAcentral lists this unclassified non-coding RNA (332 nucleotides) under soil metagenome. Its description in RNAcentral is "partial contains 5.8S ribosomal RNA, internal transcribed spacer 2, and large subunit ribosomal RNA". The stretch from base 1 to 118 matches the Rfam family "5.8S ribosomal RNA", at positions 35 to 154 of the family's 154-position model. The record is from RNAcentral.
GAUGAAGAACGUAGCGAAAUGCGAUAAGUAAUGUGAAUUGCAGAAUUCAGUGAAUCAUCGAAUCUUUGAACGCACAUUGCGCCCGCCAGUAUUCUGGCGAGCAUGCCUGUUCGCGUCAUUUCAACCAUCAAGCCCCAGGCUUGUGUUGGAGCCCUGCGGCUGCCGCAGCCUCCCAAAACCAGUGGCGGGCUCGCUAUCACACCGAGUGCAGUAGUUUACUCUUCGCUCAGGGCGUGUGGCGGGUGCUAGCCGUGAAACCCCCAACUUCUCAAGGUUGACCUCGGAUCAGGUAGGAAUACCCGCUGAACUUAAGCAUAUCAAUAAGCGGAGGA